RNAcentral lists this long non-coding RNA (4921 nucleotides) under Gallus gallus (chicken). The record is from RNAcentral. Lineage: Eukaryota; Metazoa; Chordata; Aves; Galliformes; Phasianidae.
AAUGACUUUGUUUUAUUCUGGAAUCAAGAGUCUGCUAGUAUGAUUUACUGGUGUGCAAAACAGUUGUGCUGGGUGGCAGCAAGACUUGACCAGAAGUGCUCUUCUCUAAACGAUAUGCAAAGUGAGGGAAGGACAGGAGGAAUGCCACAAGCAGAUCUCCCUUUCAUGCUCUGGCAGGGGACUGCUGUUCCAGUCUCUCUUGUCCAGCUCCUGCUGCAAGCAAGGUGAUCUGUGGAGUGACCUGCCAAAAGGCACCAAGGCUGCAGGGAAGAGGGCCAUGGCCAGAACGGCUGUACCUUCAGCAGCACACAGCCCUGGCAGCAGCCAUUCACAGUGGGAUAGAUCUCCACCCAGGUGAAUGGUACUGCUGGCUGAGGUGACCUGAGAGCCAGGGUGUUAGCUUCUGCCCUUGGGCUGUGCUGCAUCUGCCUCGCAAUGGCUCACCUGCUCAGCCAACCCCAAGCCCUGUUAUGCCCUCUGAGAACCCCUCUCCUUCCCUGCCUGCAGAGCAGCUGCAUGCCAAACCACCACACUGUGCCUCACUGCCUUUCUUUAACUCCUUAACCUGCCUCACCCCCAAAGCACUGCUCAAAGCAGCAGCCUCCCUUAGCAGCUUGGUGACCUUGGAAGACCGCUCAGCAAUUGGGAAAUGGCAUUGGAUCACCUUAAAAACUGAAUCUCUGCUGCUUACAACUUCUGUUUUAAUUGUUGGUAACAUUGUAUUGUAUAGAGCAACUACGAGAAGUGCCAGAGGAGGCUGUAGCUGUAAAAUGGCAGUUUCUCAUAGAACAGAUACAGAGUUGUUAAAAGGAGCAGUUUCUCAAGUCAGGCUAUGCUCACAGUCAUUCUAAGAGUUUGCACUGACUGAUGGGCAGAAAAUGAAGAAGAGAGGAGGAAGGCUGGAGUUUGGUAUUAAGCAGGAAAGGGCAGCCUGAAACUUGGGUAUAAGGGAGAUAGAUGGGCAAGGGGCUCCACCGUGUGGAUGCAAUUCAGCAGUGCCUGACAAUUGCAAACUGCAGGGAAGUGAAAAUGGAGUUUGCACAUUGACUACUGUGAAGAAGAACCUGCUGCAGGAGCACUGUGCCUCACGGAGGGGAAAGGCCACUUGUAGUACUUGCACAAAAGGGAAAAACAAGUCUGAAUCUUCGGUGGGCUGAGCUGGCAGGGAAAACAAACCAUGCUUUAAGGAACUUUUCUAUGUAACGUUUAGCAAAUGAAUGGCACAAGAUCCAUGUCAGUAAUUUUACUUCAACAGGAGUUACGAAUUCAAGAGAUGAAAAUUAAGAUGCACCUGUCCUUUGCAUGAACUGCUUUACAAUUAGACAAUGAUAGUUCUGAUAUGGUAGAGGAAGAAAGAAUAGAGUGGGAAGGCAGAGGAACUGAGUUUUCUUUGCUAAGCUGUGAUGAAAAAGAAAGCAUCUGCUUGAAUCUAAGCCCUGCCAGGAUGGCUGAGCUGUCCUUGGGUAUGAGCGCAUGGGCUCACUUGCAUCAGAGGAGGCUGAUAAGGCUUUUACAGCACAAGUAGUACCCAGAACUGUGACUCCUUGUAGACUGUCAUUGGCUGAAUCAUACUGUGACAGCAGGAACAGAGGGCUGGGCAGAGAGGUGAGCAUGUAAAGGAAGACAAGGGAAGAUUACAAAAAGUAAAACCUUCACCUGUAUCUCCACCUCAGGAAUUUCCAGUUUAAAGGCUCGAGAGGAGAAGACCAGCACCUGUUCAUGGAUCCUCAUUAAGGUACUGUAAACAUUAUCUAGCUCAGUUAGAAAAAGAUGCUUUCAGCUCAGGUAUCUAUGGCAUUCUAAAGUUUGCAUCCAAAAGAUGCUCACUACCCCAUUACAGUGUGUACUGCUGUGCUUUACCUCUCAAAACAGUCUUUUUUGGGGUCGUAAUUCCAUGGCACAUCUUCACAUACUGAAGGUUUUAGAAUCGCAGUGCUGUUUCUCUACAUGUUUAACAUAGACAACAUGUCACUUUAAUGACAACAGGAACUGGAUCUCAGGAACUUGUCACAAAGAAGCAUUGCUUUAUUGUGCAAACUUCUCAGUGUCAUUUGCCCUGCUAGUUACAGGAGCAUGCUAAGAUUUUCCCUUUUAAUUAGCAGUAAGCGUGUUGUCACAAGGUUGCACAUGCCAACACAAAACUCCUCCUUCCCAGCACUCCCAUGGGGAGCAUCUUGUUACAUCCCAGCCAACACAACUCUCACUGCUGACCACUUACUUCAGGCAGACACAAGACACAAAAAAGGCAAUGCUGGUGGCAUUCCUUGUCCAUUUUAACUAGCUGUAGGUACAAGUGACCACAAGAGGGCAAGAAGCAGAAUGUAGCAAAGGGUGCAGUUACAUUUAUAAGACUUGCAACCCUCGCUUUUCAGUACUGCCCUAAAGAUGAAAAUGGAACAUGGGCUAGUUCUCAGCUGAAUGUAAUUUAUUGCACAUUUUACACUUAGUAUCAGAUAAACAGAACAUAAGUUGUAUGUGAAAUGAAGUCCUACAGGGGAAGCAGCUCACAACUGAAGAGUUUUGUUAUAAUUUUAAAGAGUGAACACUCAGGUUUAUGAACUUGUUUUGGAGUGAAAAGUUUCUUGCAGCCUAGCUCAGUUCAGUCUGGUUUUGGAAACUUCAUUGUCCUGUUAAAGUUACUUGCAGUUGAGCAGAGAGAACUACAGUUAAGAAGAAAAAGGGAUCAGGUACAUGUCAGGAAGCGAUUUAUGAUAAUAGCAACAAUGUGCAGCCAAGAUCCUUUGUUUCCUGUCUCACCCACAUAAGCAAUGGAGGCUGCCCUAGGACUCACUGAGAGCCAUGACUCAGAAACAGCUUGAUUAUUCCUUUUCUCUGUAAAGAAAAUCCAGAACUCCCACCAAAACUUUGGCAGUAUUGACAUACACAGCAAUACCACAUGGCUGCCAUUUCCAUCUGCUGAGGCACUAGAACAGGACUGCCCUUUCUGCUGGUAACUCACUAGCAUGGCUUCCAUGCAGGACAAAUCCAAGAGUUAUGUCACAACUGAUGUUGCAUUCAGCUGCCACUUCUGAUGCAGCGCUUUCAGCUCUUUACCCCGUUUUGCACCUCUCCUCACUUUGGUCUGGUUUACUCAUAUGAACUACACUCCUUUUUUUCCUAGAAGUAAGAUUAAUUGCUGUCCUUCUCCCUGCUUUGCUUUCCUGAACACCUUGGCAGGAAAAUGAAUUAAUAAGACAAUUAUACCCAGUGUCCUUGUCUGGUACAGCAGUGUUUGAAAUGAGCAGCUGCAUGGAUUCAUAGGGAAGAGGUCCGUGUUAUUACAAAAAGCAAAGAACUUUGUUCCAGACAUACUUGUUCUUAACAAGUGCAUUUCAAAUACAGAAUUAGGAUGGAAAACAAUCUCUGCCCUCUUUCCAACAAAAGGAUUUACACAGAAAAAUUCCAGGAGGUGGCCUUAACAUGGAGAAUUUUCACUCAGGAGUAGAAAAAGGCAUGUUACCUACCCCAGUAAGUACACGGAGAAGUAAGAACAAGUCUUCUUUCUUGCUGAGUGCAGCAGGCUAUGCGAGACUGCACAGAUGGACUGGGCCAAAUUGCUGCAGGAAAGAUUUGGCUGCAUGAUGGGUGGUGCUCAGAGCCCGCUCACACAACCUCAGCAGAAAGUACUGCACAUUUAGAGUCACGUUGCUUUAUUUUGAUUACUGAGCCACAAUUGAGAAGUAUUGCUUUGGAGCCACCUCAGGAAGCGGGUUCUCUCAUUUUUUGAUCCUAACAUAACUGGUAGGCCACCACCUGCUAUAUAGAUAAUAAAAAUAAAAAUGUCUCUGUUCAAGCUUGUAGCAUCUGGGGGAAGGUUUGGCUGUCUCCAUUGACCCAGGUACUGUAACAGACGUGCAUGCUCUCAUCAGAUUAGCCAUCUGCAUCGAUUCUGUGAGAUUGCUUUGGUAUCCUAAGGGCCUCAUUGUCAGCUGACAUCACUUGGUGCAGAACUCCCCGGAACUGAUAAAGCACUUUCAAACUCUUCUCCUCACCCACACAGGGGUCAUAGAAACCUGGCAACCCAACCUUGGAUGCCUCUGUAAGGAUGAGCUUAGAGUCCUUCACUAAGCACUGCAAGGGCACAGUCACAUCUAUUACUUUCACCUUCUCGUUCUUCCUGCUGUUGUCAUUAACGAAUUUCCCAUACCAGGCAUUCACUACAAUCAGACCCAUUCUUGCUUCCUCUGCUUCAAUUAUCCUCCGGACAGACUCUUGCAUCAACCUAACUGCAGCUUCUGCCUCUUGCUUCUUCUGAAGGAUGUCACUGGCAGUACUCUCCCUUUGCUUCUCCAGUUCUCUCUCCUUUUGUGCCCUGAGGUAGGGUUUGAUGAUUAGCCUGUGCAUGGCAAAGUAGAUAACUAGGGGUCCCACAGUGGCAUAGAAUACAGCACUGGGAAGCAGCUGAUCUGUUAGGUGGACAGGGAAGAAGUAGGUCUGACUAGCCCUGUUCAACUUGAUUUUCAAAGACACUCCUUGGGGAACACCAACACUGACGGUGGCUCCUAAAAUACUGUGUCUGGAAAUCUUCCUCUCCGCUCCGUACUCCACUAUGGUCCCAAAGAACCCUGCCUUGAGAGAACCUUUUAUCCGUGUCUGAUCCUCAUCCUGAAACUUAUGCUGAUAACUGACCAUCAUGAAAGAAUGGGGGAUUCCUAGCUGCAACGCCACAGUGAAAUGGCUGGUUUUCGUGUCACGGACAAUGCUCGUGUUCAUGGCUGACUGGAUGCCCCACCGCCACUGUAAGUACCCCAUCGUGUUCUUAUCGAGGUUACGGGCCAGAACUGUGGUGAGACCUGGGCGGACCCCACGGGAUGAAAACUGCAGAGCACAGUUUGUAGUGAUGAAACAUCUUGGUGUAAGAUUACGGAAUAUCUUCAGACCAAAGAGAGGUCCCUGAAGGUCUCCUGCUCCAAACUCCAAC